Molecule: transfer RNA, 83 nt
Filed under: Canis lupus familiaris (dog)
Lineage: Eukaryota; Metazoa; Chordata; Mammalia; Carnivora; Canidae
Also listed under: 2 other names
Rfam family: tRNA
About the family: Transfer RNA (tRNA) molecules are approximately 80 nucleotides in length. Their secondary structure includes four short double-helical elements and three loops (D, anti-codon, and T loops).
Source: Rfam by way of RNAcentral
GCCUGGGUGGCUCAGCGGUUGAGCGUCUGCCUUUGGCUCAGGGCAUGAUCCCAGGGUCUCAGGAUCGAGUCCUGCAUCAGGCU